Lagopus muta (rock ptarmigan) is the source of this 2268-nucleotide long non-coding RNA. RefSeq lists it as uncharacterized. Lineage: Eukaryota; Metazoa; Chordata; Aves; Galliformes; Phasianidae. The transcript has 3 exons. The record is from RefSeq and is a predicted model, not a curated record.
GCAGUAUUAAGUGGUGCUGGGAGCAGGGCAUCAUGUAACUCUCCAGAGUUUGGCUGGUGGUGGUGGUUGAGAGCAUCCUGCUUCUGAACAGGCUGGUUCUCCUUUGGAUCUUACAGAUGUUUUGUGAUUAUCUAUUGUUUAAAGGAACAGGGCUUGUGAGUGGAUUAAAAACUCACUGUUAUCUACAAAUGAAGCAUACUCCUACAAGGAGAGCUGAAAAGGAUGCAAAUCUAUUCUACAAUUUAAACUUGAACUGUUUAUGACAGAUGUAUAUUAAUAUAAAAUUCUUUUCUUAAUGCACACAUGGGUGAAGCAGAUUGCACAGAAAUUACUGGGCUAAUUAAAAUUGAGCGAAUGUUUUAAUUUCUGUUAAAUACAACAGCAUAUUUUCUACCUGCAUCAGCUCUAUGCCUUAUUCUUUUUGAGAUAUUGGAAAGCAAGUAAAAUAGUUGACUGCAUUACAUCAAAAGAACUGAUUUUUUGUUUCCCAGCCCUUUAAUGUAUUUUUCUGUUAGAAUGUUCAAUCAAAAUGGUCUUGUCCUAACUAUUGCUUUGUGUCUUUCUACAUAGAAAUUCAGUUUCUUAUAUGCACAUGCAUGAUAAUAAUUUGAGGUUAAUGACAACCCUGAGAAACAAUUUUAAUUUCUAAUGCUUAGAAAUGAACAAGUUGGUUUGAAUAAUGAAUCAUUACCUGUCAACUUCAGACUUUUAUGCAGAAUGUAAAUACUUUGCUUUCUUCGUGUUCUUCCUUGGGAUCAAGUGGACUAGGCAUUCAGUCUUGUGAAGUGUAGGCUUCUCUUUCACAAACUGCAGUAUAAAUGAAAACAAAUUCUCCUCUUAGUGUCUUUUUGUCUUGCUACUUGUAGCAUCUAGUACUGAAUUAAUAUCAUGCUCACAACAUCUAUUGAUUUCCAGGAAUAAUGUAUCAGAUAUCCAGUUAUAUGUGCUAUCAUCUGUCUUCUUAUGAAUUGAUUCUAUUUGCUCAUCUUUCCAAUUUGUCCAGUGUCUUUAUUUGCAUUAAUAUUGCCCCUGCAGCCUGCCAUAUUUUCUGUCUUCCUCCGUAAUAGCAAUGUAAUUCAUAGUUUUUUCAAUAUUUAUUGCUAAUAAUAAUUACCUGGGUCCUGUUCUGCAUGUGGGAGGUUUCCAGCUCUUGUUAGUGACUUUUCAGGGACUGUGAAUCAUAUUGUUAGUGUUUAAUAUAUAUGGACAUAUUGGAAUUAUAUUAACAUGAACUUCCUUCUUAUGAGAAACAAGAUCUUUUGAGUAACUACUGUAGCAGGGAUGUAAAUUCAGUUUAAAGAGUUUGUUUAGCUUGCUUGGGUUGAAUGCUUGCCUGUUAGAUAACAGUUUGAUAUUUUCUUCUCCAGAGCUGUGACUUCCUUUGCUGUUACUCCUCUUUUUCCUCUUCUUCCUUACUUCUUACUGUACUCUUCCCUUCCAAAAGAUAUUGUAAGCUUUCCUGCUGUGUUGAUGUUCAUGUCAGAACAUCCCUGGCUUGUUUCUAACUUGCCAUCAAAUUUUGCAAUACUUGACUUGUCCUUGAUCGCUACACUGGUUUACAUCUAAUGCCCAUGGCUUCAGGGAAGGGGUCAAGUAUUUAAGGAAGUUGUGGUGUUUGGUGGUGGGGUUUUUUUUUUUUUUUGUUUUUUUUUUUUUCUUCUUCAUUUCUGUGGGAUCCCUUGAGCUUACACACAGAAAAGAUGCUUACUGAGCCUUCAAUAAAGUUUCAUAGUCUUUAGUUUUACAUGGCUUUCUUCAGACUUUCAGCACCGCUGUUAAUAGAACGGUUUUCUAUUAAGCAGGAAGAUAUGUCUUGCUGAUCCUCAGGAAAUGGAAAAAGACAAACCAAACUGAGAUAUAUUCUAUCACUGUCAAAAAACAAACUGAAUAGAAAUUCCAAGUUGCCAUCAUAGCUCAGUGUUUCUGUUCAGAUUGAGAGAGUUUUGUAUAUUGAACAUCCACCUGAAAUGUUUCAGUAUGAAUGCUACCACGUAAUGCUAGUGCAUGGAUGAAAAAGCAGAAACAAGAAGUGUCAGUGAAGGCUGAAAUCAUGCAGAUCCUUGUCUGCACAAACAGGGACUGCUCCUUUAGGGGCUGGGGAUUGGGACUUUGGAGGGAACUAAACAGUCCAAAUCAUAGGGUUUGGGAUGUUUUAUAUGCCUUUUAUGAACUUAAUUUCCAUUUUAAUACCGAUGCUACAUAUAUAUGAAAAAUUAUCCACUCCCAACUUCUCUGUGGAACAGUUACCAUCUCUAGGAACGCUUUCAC